AUCCAGCUGACGAGUCCCGAACGGGACGAAACGCGUGUCAUGGAU
Molecule: non-coding RNA, 45 nt
Filed under: Schistosoma curassoni
Lineage: Eukaryota; Metazoa; Platyhelminthes; Trematoda; Strigeidida; Schistosomatidae
Source: RNAcentral